This 1641-nucleotide ribosomal RNA is filed under the name Triticum aestivum (bread wheat). RNAcentral's name for it is "partial small subunit ribosomal RNA". Lineage: Eukaryota; Viridiplantae; Streptophyta; Magnoliopsida; Poales; Poaceae. The record is from RNAcentral.
AUGGCCAAGUCUGGUGCCCGUAAGGAGGCGGCACCAGUCCGGUCAUCGGCGACCUCUCCGCCGCAGCAGCACAUCCCCGGCGCCCCGGCAAGCUCGUGCGCCAACCGCUGGCCACAGCAACUCUUCUACCCCGGCGCUCCGACGAGCUCGUCCGCCAGCCCCUCGACACCACCGUACAUGAGGCCAAUGUACACCCCUGCACCUGAAGACUUGCUAAGUUUUGGACAAUUCCUUCCAAUGCAUAAUUAUAAUUUUCAACCUCCGCAAGUGCAGCAUCCUGUACAAGGGCACCAAAAUAUGGAUACCAAUCAACCGGCUGAUGGUUCCGAUGAUGAAGCUGAAGCAAGUAUCAUUGAUCCUUCCUCCCUCUACACACUAGAUCACUACCUUGUCCAGAUGGACAUGUUAGACUCAUUCGCCAAGGAGAUCGCAAUAGAAGUGAAGGAAAGCCUUGACGCUCAAGGAAGAUCAAGCAGAAGUGGUCCGAGGAUUUACGUGAACAGGCCACGUGAAGAAGCUGCUGAGCAAUUGGUACGCGACUAUUUCUGUGAUGAUCCUACCUACAAGAAGAAGGUAUUUCGUAGAAGAUUUCGGAUGAGAAGGCCCCUUUUUGAGCGUAUCAUACAUGCACUAGGAGAGUGGUCUCCAGAGUUCACGCAAAGGAAAGAUGCUCUUGACCGUGAUGGGCUAUCUCCAUUGCAGAAAUGCACAUCAGCUAUUCGCCAAUUGGCAUAUGGUACUCCCGCUGACGCUCUCGAUGAGUACCUGAAGAUUGCCGAGUGCACAUCAAUUAAGUGCUUAAAGCUGUUCGUCAAAGGCGUGAUUCAUAUAUUUGGUGAUGAGUAUAUGCGAAAACCCAAUGUCAACGAUGUGCAGCGCUUACUUGAUAUUGGAGAGAGUCGUGGGUUUCCUGGCAUGUUAGGAAGCCUCGACUGUAUGCACUGGCGUUGGGACAAAUGUCCCAUGGAGUGGAAGGGACAAUUCACCAGUGGGUAUAAAGGCGUCCCUACUCUUAUUCUAGAGGCGGUUGCUUCUCAGGAUCUUUGGAUAUGGCAUGCAUUUUUUGGUGUUGCUGGAUCCAACAAUGACAUCAACGUGCUUAAUCAGUCAACGUUGUUCCUUGAGCAACUGAAAGGGCAAGCUCCUCGAGUGAACUAUAAUGUCAACGAGAAGGAAUAUCAACUUGGUUAUUACCUUGUAGAUGGAAUAUACCCAGAGUGGGCAGCAUUCGUGAAGUCGAUACCGAUGGCUCAAACAGAAAAACAGAGGUUGUUUGCUAAACAUCAAGAAGGUGCAAGGAAGGAUGUGGAACGUGCAUUUGGUGUGCUCCAGGCGCGAUGGUCUAUUUUACUGCGCCCGGCACGUUUAUAUGACCGGGGCGAUCUCCAUCAUAUUAUGUUAGCCUGCAUCAUUCUACACAACAUGAUAGUUGAGGAUGAAAAAGAAGAGGCGGGGAAUAUGCUUGAUUUGAAUGAGGAAGCAGGCUCAUCAAUUGUUUUCCCAUCAGUAUUUACUCAUGGUGGCAUGCCAAUAUUUGCCGAGGUACUUCAAAGAGAUGCUAGAAUUCGUAAUCGUCCGAUGCAUAAGGCUCUAAAAAAUGAUUUGAUUGAGCAUAUAUGGAGAAAGUUUGGGCGACGAUAG